RNAcentral lists this ribosomal RNA (253 nucleotides) under uncultured bacterium. RNAcentral's name for it is "partial 16S ribosomal RNA". It matches the Rfam family "Bacterial small subunit ribosomal RNA", at positions 524 to 776 of the family's 1533-position model. The record is from RNAcentral.
GACGAACUGUCCUAACGUUGUUCGGAAUCACUGGGCUUAAAGGGCGCGUAGGCGGCUUGCCAAGUCAGGGGUGAAAUCCUGCAGCUUAACUGUAGAAGGGCCUUUGAUACUGGCGAGCUCGAGGGAGGUAGGGGUAUGUGGAACUUCCGGUGGAGCGGUGAAAUGCGUUGAUAUCGGAAGGAACGCCGGUGGCGAAAGCGACGUACUGGACCUCUUCUGACGCUGAGGCGCGAAAGCUAGGGGAGCAAACGGG